Homo sapiens (human) is the source of this 567-nucleotide long non-coding RNA. The record is from Ensembl. NCBI's taxonomy places the organism in Eukaryota, Metazoa, Chordata, Mammalia, Primates, Hominidae.
GGACUGCAGGCGCCCGCCACCAUGCCUGGCUAAUUUUUUGUAUGUUUAGUAGAGACGGGGUUUCACCGUGUUAGCCAGGAUGGUCUCUAUCUCCUGACCUUGUGAUCUGCCUGCCUCGGCCUCCCGAAGUGCCGGGAUUACAAGCGUGAGCCACCAUUCCCGGCCCAAAGGACAACACUUAGCUCUCAUCACAUCACCUUGUGGAAUCCGGGCUUAGCAAAAUGGCAUGGGAUGUCACUCUGUCUACUGUUACUACUGAGGAGAAGAAGUAUGAAGUGCUUGCUUGGACCUUUCUACUGUGCUUAUUAUUCUGUCUUCUCCUCAUGGCAACUCUGCUCAGGCAACUCUUCCUCUGAGGAUCCUUCCAGUGACAAUUCAAGAAUUAGCGACUCAAUUCCCAGGGUCCCUUAGACCUUCGACCUGCUUGUGGGCAAUUUGGAAACAAGGAUUGUGCCUGAAUCACCUUUGCAUUCCUAGCAUCGUUUUUCCUGGAUAAUAAUUUGUUCAAUAUAUGUUCAAUAAUUGUUCAAUUAUUCAAUAACAAAUGUUCAAUAAAUGUGUGUUAAA